RNAcentral lists this long non-coding RNA (229 nucleotides) under Elaeis guineensis (African oil palm). RNAcentral's name for it is "long non-coding RNA (EGUI_LNC041905)". Lineage: Eukaryota; Viridiplantae; Streptophyta; Magnoliopsida; Arecales; Arecaceae. The record is from RNAcentral.
UACAGUACUCAAAUUGGCAGUUUUAUUUAAAAUGCGGCACCUAUCAGGCAAUAGCUGUCGCUACAUUGAUAAGGCAAUCACAAAUGCCACAUCCUGAAAAUAUCGAGCGAUAAUCUCAUACCUAAUGAAUCACAACCUAAUCAUGCAGGAUCAUGCCAACUAACUUGCCAAUUGAAGCUUCAACUCUCCACCAUAAAAGAUGACCUUCAAAAAAGGUAUGCAAGAAUUC